This is a non-coding RNA of Vigna umbellata (rice bean), 484 nucleotides long. Lineage: Eukaryota; Viridiplantae; Streptophyta; Magnoliopsida; Fabales; Fabaceae. The record is from RefSeq and is a predicted model, not a curated record.
UUUAUACUCUUUAAAAUUAAUCUAUUCAUUGUCGUUUUUAGGCCUUUGGUGAUACUUGAAAAACUAGUGGGAUUAGAAAAUAUUAAAGCAUCAAUAGGAGCCUUGGUGCAUAUAUCAGAGAAUAUAUUGCAGGAAAAACAGAGAAGAUGGAUGAACAAUUUGAAGGUUGUACAUUUAGGAAGUAAAGAAUUCAAGAUAGCUAGUAUUAUGAGGGAUUUAUUUUGGGCAUUUUCUGAGCACCAAGAACGCUUACAGAAGAGGCUUGCACUUGAGGAGCGAAGGAUAUUUGCAGCUAAUGAACAAUUAGCUUAAAUGUUUGUCCUUCACUUCUUAAUGUUUUUUUUUUGCUCAUAUGUAAAUACAACUACUGCAGGCCUAUGACCUACUUUUUCUUUUCUUCCAAAAUUAUUGGUAUUAAAGCGUUAAGAAAAUGUUGAUCGGUCCAGAAAUUAGUUUUCAAAAAGUUUAUUUUUAUAUUCUAAAA